GACAGAGGGGGCAAGCGUUGCUCGGAAUCACUGGGCGUAAAGGGCGCGUAGGCGGGAUGGCAAGUCGGUCGUGAAAUCCUUCGGCUCAACCGAAGAACGUCGGCCGAUACUGCCGUUCUUGAGGGAUGCAGAGGAGAUUGGAAUUCCUGGUGUAGCGGUGAAAUGCGUAGAUAUCAGGAGGAACACCGGUGGCGAAGGCGGCCCUCUGGACGGUGACUGACGCUGAGACGCGAAAGCGUGGGGAGCAAACAGG
Molecule: ribosomal RNA, 253 nt
Filed under: uncultured bacterium
Lineage: Bacteria
Description: partial 16S ribosomal RNA
Rfam family: Bacterial small subunit ribosomal RNA
Source: RNAcentral